CGAUGAAGAACGCAGCGAAAUGCGAUAAGUAAUGUGAAUUGCAGAAUUCAGUGAAUCAUCGAAUCUUUGAACGCACCUUGCGCCCCUUGGUCAUUCCUCGGGGCAUGCCUGUUUGAGUAUCAUGAACACCUCAACUCUCGUGGUCUUCCAUGAUGAGCUUGGACUUUGGGGGUUUGCUGGCCCUGUGGCCGGCUCCUCUCAAACGAAUCAGCUUGCCAGUGUUUGGCGGCGUCACGGGUGUGAUAACCAUCUACGCUUGCGAUCGCCUGCCAGAUAACCCUCAGCGAUGAAGGUUCAUUGGGGCUCACAAAAGU
RNAcentral lists this ribosomal RNA (314 nucleotides) under uncultured Thelephorales. RNAcentral's name for it is "eukaryotic LSU rRNA". The stretch from base 1 to 122 matches the Rfam family "5.8S ribosomal RNA", at positions 34 to 154 of the family's 154-position model. The record is from RNAcentral. Lineage: Eukaryota; Fungi; Basidiomycota; Agaricomycetes; Thelephorales.